AACGAACGCUGGCGGCAGGCCUAACACAUGCAAGUCGAGCGCGACCUUCGGUUGAGCGGCGGACGGGUUAGUAACGCGUGGGAACGUACCUUUCGGUAAGGAAUAGCCUCUGGAAACGGAGAGUAAUACCUUAUACGCCCUUUGGGGAAAGAUUUAUCGCCGAGGGAUCGGCCCGCGUUAGAUUAGAUAGUUGGUGGGGUAACGGCCUACCAAGUCUACGAUCUAUAGCUGGUUUUAGAGGAUGAUCAGCAACACUGGGACUGAGACACGGCCCAGACUCCUACGGGAGGCAGCAGUGGGGAAUCUUGGACAAUGGGCGCAAGCCUGAUCCAGCCAUGCCGCGUGAGUGAUGAAGGCCCUAGGUAAAGCUCUUCGCAGGGAGAUAAUGACGUACCUGUAA
This 400-nucleotide ribosomal RNA is filed under the name uncultured bacterium. RNAcentral describes it as "bacterial SSU rRNA". It matches the Rfam family "Bacterial small subunit ribosomal RNA", at positions 29 to 462 of the family's 1533-position model. The record is from RNAcentral.